Lactuca sativa (garden lettuce) is the source of this 385-nucleotide non-coding RNA. NCBI's taxonomy places the organism in Eukaryota, Viridiplantae, Streptophyta, Magnoliopsida, Asterales, Asteraceae. The record is from RefSeq and is a predicted model, not a curated record.
CGCUCUGCACGAAAGCCUCUUCUUCAAGUCAAAAUAGAUACGUGUCAUACGCUUGUGAGGCGGGGAAGAGCUGUGUGGAAAAAGCUGAUCCGAUGUAGUGACCUGUGGGAGCAAGGCAGGAGAUAUCAUCAUCAGAUGAGGCAAGCCGAUUCUUCUACCGAAAUCAUCUUACCGCCGUCAAUCGGGUAAAUUUUUUGUCAAAUAUUUUGACUUUCAGUUUCGCUUGAUUGAUUACUUGAUCAUCAGGGUUUAAUUGCGUAUAUCUAUGUGAUUUAGUACUCGUUCAUAUCUUUCUUGAAGUAGUGAUUCUUCUGCUUUAUGUAGUUGAGUAAAUCAGAGCCAAAAUGUUUAUUGAUUUAGUGAAGUAUGCUACUAUACAGAUUCU